This 533-nucleotide long non-coding RNA is filed under the name Panax ginseng (ginseng). Its description in RNAcentral is "long non-coding RNA (PGIN_LNC003066)". Lineage: Eukaryota; Viridiplantae; Streptophyta; Magnoliopsida; Apiales; Araliaceae. The record is from RNAcentral.
CAAAACCCUUGGCAUAGUUCUUUCAUUCUAUAGGACUAGGUAGCAGCUUCAACUGGAGUUCUCACACGACAAUUUUUGCCUGAACUUGAAACAAAGGCAAGUGAAAAAGGUAUGUAUUUCAAACAAACCCAUCAAUUAUGGAGAUGAAUUUCUUUUGAUAAAUUAUGGGUAUUCCUUUAUUCUGACUUUUGCUUAAUCUUAUGAAUCUUUGCUUCUUAUCGAUUAGGAUAUGUGGGCUCAUUUUAGUAAGUAUGGAGUUAGUAUGCUUUGAAGAAUUUUGAAGCUUUUUCCCCCCAAAUUUUUCCUGAAAAAUGGCUUGCUAUUAUUAGUUUGUUGGAAAAGAUGAACUUUUUACACUAGAACUGUAAAAUUCCCUGUUUCUUCAAACUCUGAUCUUGUUUCUUUUUGCAGAUUUGGGAAUCUGUACGGGUUCUUAAACUCUCACCCCCCCUCUCUCUCUCUCUCCAAACUCUGCUCUUGUUGUUGUAUUUCAGUAGUAUAUACGGUGUCCACUAGUUGUUGCUACUAUUGAC